UGCAAUUGUUUGCUUACCUGUACCCUCUAACCUACUCCUUGCCCCUCCUAGCUGUACAUUUCUACAAAUACCUGUGUCUAUUUCUAUUCCAUCGGGCCCAAUUCCACAAGGCAACUGGAACAUAACCACUUUAUUUCCACUAAGCAGUCUUUUGUGUUCGCCUUUGAUUAAUUAUUACACUAUUACAAUUACACUUUGAUUAAUUAUUCCUUCACUUUCUUUCAGUUUUUG
This is a non-coding RNA of Pelobates cultripes (western spadefoot toad), 231 nucleotides long. The record is from the annotation of a GenBank genome assembly. Lineage: Eukaryota; Metazoa; Chordata; Amphibia; Anura; Pelobatidae.